Long non-coding RNA from Trichosurus vulpecula (common brushtail), 462 nucleotides. RefSeq lists it as uncharacterized. The transcript is spliced from 3 exons. The record is from RefSeq and is a predicted model, not a curated record. Lineage: Eukaryota; Metazoa; Chordata; Mammalia; Diprotodontia; Phalangeridae.
CUGGCCUCUCGCCUCUCCCGGGCUCCCAGCAGCUGCUCUCAGCACAUGCUUCCGUGACUUAGCAGGAAGAGGGACAACCUGCUGCAGUGGCUAAGGUUUGAAAGAAAAUCCCUUCCUCCAGACCUGUAAAACUGAGGAAUUGACUGGAGAGAGAAUCAUGCCCAAAGGGGAAAACAAAGGGAGAAGCUGGGAAGUACUGACCCAACCCACAUAGAGGUGGAGAACAAGAAAGAAGGAGGUCAGCGUCCCUGUGUGGCAGCAGCAGUCCCUUCCUGCCUGAUGCAGCUUCUGCUCUUCCCCUUUGAGUUGAGGAAACAGAGAAUCAUUUGAGAAAUGAUUGGAUGCAUGGUGGUACAAAAAUGUAAUGGAGUACUAUUGGGCAAUAAGAAGUGAUGGCUAUGAGGAGUGAACUGAUACAGGGCGAAGUAAGUAGCACCAGCAGAACAACACACAUGGAAACGA